GACGAACGCUGGCGGCGUGCUUAACACAUGCAAGUCGAGGGAGAAAGCCCGCAAGGGUUAGUAAACCGGCGAACGGGUGCGUAACACGUGGAUAAUCUACCUCGGUGACCGGGACAACUGGCCGAAAGGCUUGCUAAUACCGGAUAAGCCCACGACGUUCACGGACGUCGAGGGAAAAGGCGGCCUCUGCAUGCAAGCUGUCACAUCGAGAUGAGUCCGCGGCCCAUCAGCUAGUGGCGGGGUAAUGGCCCACCAAGGCGACGACGGGUAGCUGGUCUGAGAGGAUGAUCAGCCACACUGGAACUGAGACACGGUCCAGACUCCUACGGGAGGCAGCAGGUGGGGAAUCUUGCGCAAUGGGACGAAAGCCUGACGCAGCAACGCCGCGUGUGUGAU
RNAcentral lists this ribosomal RNA (396 nucleotides) under uncultured bacterium. RNAcentral describes it as "bacterial SSU rRNA". It matches the Rfam family "Bacterial small subunit ribosomal RNA", at positions 28 to 409 of the family's 1533-position model. The record is from RNAcentral.